RNAcentral lists this ribosomal RNA (757 nucleotides) under Nanotrachia intermedia. Its description in RNAcentral is "partial 16S ribosomal RNA". The record is from RNAcentral. Lineage: Eukaryota; Metazoa; Mollusca; Gastropoda; Stylommatophora; Camaenidae.
CGCGAAAAUAGUUGAGCUAAGUGAUAGUUUAUUUUUAGAUUCUUUUAUGUAGCAUAAUAUAAUUAAAUAAUUACUUAGGGGUGAAAGGCCUUUCAAAUCUAUAGAUAUCUCGAUACUUUAAAUAUACAUAUAGUGUAAUGGCAACUAAAUAGUGAUAAGGCUGUUUAGUUUCACCAAAAGAUUAUUAGAUAACUAUUUUGGUUUAACCACUUAAUAAUUAAAUGUGAAAACAUAUUUUUAUUCUAAUUGUGUUGACUGUAAAGUGACAUUUAAACAACUAUUAAUGUAAAUACUGUAGUUAUUAGUAAUUUUAAAAGGUGUUUGUAAUGAACUCGGCAAUAUACCUUUCAACUGUUUAUCAAAAACAUAGUUAUGAGAAUGUCUUCAUAAUGAAUUCUGCUCCAUGAUUUAUUAAAUAGCCGCAGUACCCUGACUGUGCAAAGGUAGCGUAAUAAUUUGACUUAUAAUUGAAGUCUUGUAUGAAAGAAUACAUGGGGGGUAACUUUAUUAUAGACAAAAUAAUGAACUUAAUAAUUAAGUGCAAAUUCUUAUAGUGAAAUGAUAGACGAGAAGACCCUAGAAAUUUUUAUAAUAUUGUUACAGGUUUUUUUUUGUUGGGGCAACAGAGUAACAGAUAACUUACUUUAUAAUAAUACACGCAUAUAACUAUAUGUUAGAUUAAAUUACUCUAGGGAUAACAGCGUAAUUUUCAAAAGUUUGCGACCUCGAUGUUGGACUAGGAACCAAAUACUUAGAA